Molecule: non-coding RNA, 471 nt
Organism: Myodes glareolus (Bank vole)
Lineage: Eukaryota; Metazoa; Chordata; Mammalia; Rodentia; Cricetidae
Source: RefSeq, a predicted model, not a curated record
UCCUAAUUAAAGGAGCACGCUGUUAAUCAGUUAUUAUAGGCAUCACCCCCUUCCCUGAUCUUUAAGCUGUUGGCAGACCGAGAUUGAAGACUGUUGAUUCUUGCCACCUCCCAUACAAAGCAGUUCUGCCAGCCUCUCUUGGGCUCCACCCUUCAAGGAACAGCUCAGCUUCAAGCAAAUGUGUGCCGCAUGUCGAGAUCUCCGCUGUGCCUUUGGACCUAGGGUUGAAGGAGAGGAGCUGAUGGCGGCUUUGAGCAUAGGAUGAUCGUAACGGGAAAUGUGCUGGGGUACACUAGAGUGGAGAAAGGCGACAGCAGACAUUUUUAUUUCGGUGCGCUCGUCCUCCUUAUUAAUUCACCUCCCUGUGCCCACGGAGACUCACGUAAUUCUUCCUUAAAAUGUUUAAUCGCAUGUGUAAAUCAAUACCCCUGACCUCAUUGUGAUAAAAUACAUUUUAUUUCUGAACUUGAA